UAGGGGGCAAGCGUUAUCCGGAAUUAUUGGGUGUAAAGGGUGCGUAGACGGGAAAUUAAGUUAGUUGUGAAAUCCCCAGGCUCAACUUGGGAAUUGCAACUAAAACUGGUUUUCUUGAGUACUGGAGAGGAAAGUGGAAUUCCUAGUGUAGCGGUGAAAUGCGUAGAUAUUAGGAGGAACACCAGUGGCGAAGGCGACUUUCUGGACAGAAACUGACGUUGAGGCACGAAAGUGUGGGGAGCAAA
This 245-nucleotide ribosomal RNA is filed under the name uncultured bacterium. RNAcentral describes it as "partial 16S ribosomal RNA". It matches the Rfam family "Bacterial small subunit ribosomal RNA", at positions 528 to 772 of the family's 1533-position model. The record is from RNAcentral.